This 482-nucleotide ribosomal RNA is filed under the name uncultured bacterium. RNAcentral describes it as "partial 16S ribosomal RNA". It matches the Rfam family "Bacterial small subunit ribosomal RNA", at positions 30 to 507 of the family's 1533-position model. The record is from RNAcentral.
AUUGAACGCUGGCGGCAUGCUUUACACAUGCAAGUCGAACGGUAACAGGCCGCAAGGUGCUGACGAGUGGCGAACGGGUGAGUAAUGCAUCGGAACGUGCCCAGCCGUGGGGGAUAACUACUCGAAAGAGUAGCUAAUACCGCAUACGAUCUAUGGAUGAAAGCGGGGGACCGUAAGGCCUCGCGCGAUUGGAGCGGCCGAUGUCAGAUUAGGUAGUUGGUGGGGUAAAGGCUCACCAAGCCAACGAUCUGUAGCUGGUCUGAGAGGACGACCAGCCACACUGGGACUGAGACACGGCCCAGACUCCUACGGGAGGCAGCAGUGGGGAAUUUUGGACAAUGGGCGCAAGCCUGAUCCAGCAAUGCCGCGUGCAGGAAGAAGGCCUUCUGGUUGUAAACUGCUUUUGUACGGAACGAAACGGCUCUGGUUAAUACCCGGGGCUAAUGACGGUACCGUAAGAAUAAGCACCGGCUAACUACGUG